UACGUAGGGGGCAAGCGUUAUCCGGAUUUACUGGGUGUAAAGGGAGCGUAGACGGCUGUGCAAGUCUGAAGUGAAAGGCAAGGGCUCAACCUUUGGACUGCUUUGGAAACUGUGCAGCUAGAGUGUCGGAGAGGCAAGUGGAAUUCCUAGUCUAGCGGUGAAAUGCGUAGAUAUUAGGAGGAACACCAGUGGCGAAGGCGGCUUGCUGGACGAUGACUGACGUUGAGGCUCGAAAGCGUGGGGAGCAAACAGG
This 253-nucleotide ribosomal RNA is filed under the name uncultured bacterium. RNAcentral describes it as "partial 16S ribosomal RNA". It matches the Rfam family "Bacterial small subunit ribosomal RNA", at positions 524 to 776 of the family's 1533-position model. The record is from RNAcentral.